CAGCCCUUGACAUCCCCAGACCGCGGCAGAGAUGCCGUUUUCCCUUCGGGGACUGGGAGACAGGUGCUGCAUGGCUGUCGUCAGCUCGUGUCGUGAGAUGUUGGGUUAAGUCCCGCAACGAGCGCAACCCUCGCCCUUAGUUGCCAUCAUUCAGUUGGGCACUCUAGGGGGACUGCCGGUGAUAAGCCGAGAGGAAGGUGGGGAUGACGUCAAGUCCUCAUGGCCCUUACGGGCUGGGCUACACACGUGCUACAAUGGCGGUGACAGUGGGCAGCGACUUCGCGAGAAGGAGCUAAUCCCCAAAAGCCGUCUCAGUUCGGAUUGCACUCUGCAACUCGAGUGCAUGAAGUCGGAAUCGCUAGUAAUCGCGUAACAGCACGACGCGGUGAAUACGUUCCCGGGCCUUGUACACACCGCCCGUCACACCAUGGGAGUUGGGUUUACCCGAAGGCAGUGCGCUAACCUGAAAGGGGGGCAGCUGACCACGGUAGGCUCAGCGACUGGGGUG
RNAcentral lists this ribosomal RNA (508 nucleotides) under uncultured bacterium. RNAcentral's name for it is "bacterial SSU rRNA". It matches the Rfam family "Bacterial small subunit ribosomal RNA", at positions 975 to 1482 of the family's 1533-position model. The record is from RNAcentral.